RNAcentral lists this ribosomal RNA (443 nucleotides) under uncultured bacterium. Its description in RNAcentral is "partial 16S ribosomal RNA". It matches the Rfam family "Bacterial small subunit ribosomal RNA", at positions 338 to 795 of the family's 1533-position model. The record is from RNAcentral.
CCUACGGGGGGCUGCAGUGGGGAAUAUUGGGCAAUGGGCGAAAGCCUGACCCAGCAACGCCGCGUGAAGGAAGAAGGCCCUCGGGUUGUAAACUUCUUUUGUCAGGGACGAAACAAAUGACGGUACCUGACGAAUAAGCCACGGCUAACUACGUGCCAGCCGCCGCGGUAAUACGUAGGUGGCAAGCGUUAUCCGGAUUUACUGGGUGUAAAGGGCGUGUAGGCGGGGGAGGAAGUCAGAUGUGAAAUUCCAGGGCUCAACCCUGGAACUGCAUUUGAAACUGUUUUGCUUGAGUGAGGGAGAGGCAGGCGGAAUGCCGUGUGUAGCGGUGAAAUGCGUAGAUAUACGGAGGAACACCAGUGGCGAAGGCGGCCUGCUGGACAUUAACUGACGCUGAGGCACGAAAGCGUGGGGAGCAAACAGGAUUAGAUACCCCUGUAGUC